This 629-nucleotide ribosomal RNA is filed under the name Ramaria sp. OSC 122873. RNAcentral's name for it is "eukaryotic LSU rRNA". It matches the Rfam family "Eukaryotic large subunit ribosomal RNA", at positions 55 to 666 of the family's 3401-position model. Lineage: Eukaryota; Fungi; Basidiomycota; Agaricomycetes; Gomphales; Gomphaceae. The record is from RNAcentral.
GGAAAAGAAACUAACAAGGAUUCCCCUAGUAACGGCGAGUGAAGCGGGAAGAGCUCAAAUUUGUAAUCUGGCGGUCUCAGGCCGUCCGAGUUGUAGUCUGGAGAAGCGUUUUCCGCGCCGGACCGUGUACAAGUCCCUUGGAACAGGGCGUCGUAGAGGGUGAGAAUCCCGUCUUUGACACGGACUGCCGGUGCUUUGUGAUGCGCUCUCAAAGAGUCGAGUUGUUUGGGAAUGCAGCUCAAAAUGGGUGGUAAAUUCCAUCUAAAGCUAAAUAUUGGCGAAAGACCGAUAGCGAACAAGUACCGUGAGGGAAAGAUGAAAAGCACUUUGGAAAGAGAGUUAAACAGUACGUGAAAUUGUUGAAAGGGAAACGCUUGAAGUCAGUCGCGUCUUCCGGGACUCAGCCUUGCUUUUGCUUGGUGCAUUUCCCGAAUGACGGGCCAGCAUCGAUUUCGAUCGUUGGAGAAAGGCUUUGGGAAUGUGGCACCUUCGGGUGUGUUAUAGCCCUCGGUCGUAUGCAACGGUUGGGAUCGAGGAUCGCAGCACGCCUUUUUGGCCGGGGUUCGCCCACGUAACGUGCUUAGGAUGCUGGCGUAAUGGCUUUAAACGACCCGUCUUGAAACACGGAC